CCUGAAGUAGAGCUAUGCGUUUUAAGUCUUUAUGCACAAUCUGCCACUAACUCCUCAACAUGUGAAUCAUGGAAAAAGGUUUACCUAAUCACCCAAGGACACGUCAGACCACCCGAUGGGGUCACAGUAUACCCAGGUAAUCAUACUUGUUAUUCAAUACCUAAGAACACAGGUGUAUUUUUGGGCAAAUUCCCAUCUGGAUAUUGUUCAACCUACCACGACCCGCCUAUAACACUGUUUAUGAAUCACGUAAAGACAGUUGGGGACAUAUAUUGGUUAUGUGGCGAUAGACAGCUGAGGUCCCAACUAGUAGGACAGUGGUGGGGGGAAUGUACCUUGGCCAAGGCUAUAAUGC
Molecule: non-coding RNA, 355 nt
Organism: Pelobates cultripes (western spadefoot toad)
Lineage: Eukaryota; Metazoa; Chordata; Amphibia; Anura; Pelobatidae
Source: the annotation of a GenBank genome assembly